GACGAACGCUGGCGGCGUGCUUAACACAUGCAAGUCGAACGGAAAGGCCCUGCUUUUGUGGGGUGCUCGAGUGGCGAACGGGUGAGUAACACGUGAGUAACCUGCCCUUGACUUUGGGAUAACUUCAGGAAACUGGGGCUAAUACCGGAUAGGAGCUCCUGCUGCAUGGUGGGGGUUGGAAAGUUUCGGCGGUUGGGGAUGGACUCGCGGCUUAUCAGCUUGUUGGUGGGGUAGUGGCUUACCAAGGCUUUGACGGGUAGCCGGCCUGAGAGGGUGACCGGCCACAUUGGGACGGAGAUACGGCCCAGACUCCUACGGGAGGCAGCAGUGGGGAAUAUUGCACAAUGGGCGGAAGCCUGGUGCGGCAACGCCGCGUGCGGGAUGACGGCCUUCGGGUUGUAAACCGCUUUCGCCUGUGACGAAGCGUGAGUGACGGUAAUGGGUAAAGAAGCACCGGCUAACUACGUG
This 468-nucleotide ribosomal RNA is filed under the name uncultured bacterium. RNAcentral describes it as "partial 16S ribosomal RNA". It matches the Rfam family "Bacterial small subunit ribosomal RNA", at positions 28 to 507 of the family's 1533-position model. The record is from RNAcentral.